AGGCCCCUUCAAGCUUAUUCGUUUGUUCAGCAAAUACUAUUAUGUAUCUGGAACUCUAUUGUGGGCUGGAUUUACGAAGAUGAACGUGGCAGGUAUCUAUGAAAGUCUGGCCCCUGCUUGCUGAAUUCUUCCAAAAGCACUGGAUUUUUGUCAACAGGAUUGGAUGUUGCUGGAGUUGUGAGAUGUCUCAGCUCUGGAGAUUAUGUUAUUACUGUCAUUCUUCUCCCAGGAGAGUUUGCUGUAUCCAGAGAGACAGAUUGGUCCCGUUUAAUCUAAUAAACGGAGAAGGAGCUAACAGUCACCAGGCUCUGGACUGGAACGGGGGAUACAGAGGUGAAGAGCUCAGUUUGUGUCCUUGUGGAACUCACCACCCAGGUAUGUACAAACACACUUUUGAUAUAACAUAAGUACUAUAAUUGCAAAAACCAUUUAUUGUUGAUGUUUAAAUAGUCUGCCUGGUUGUCAGUUGAUGUGUCAAAUCAUGUAUUGCAAUGUUUGAUGCAGAAAAUAUGGUUGGCACUAACCCGAGGAAUUAACCACAGAAGUUUAGCAAUGAGCAUGACUGACUCAGCCUGGAGGGUCUGAGAUGUCUUCACAGAGCAGGCAAAAUACUCAACCGUAUAUUGACCAUUCCUAGCACGGGGAGAGACAGGUUUUAAGGCAGACAGGUCAGUAUAGGCAAAGAUGUGGAAGUGAGAAAGAGCAUGGUCUGUUGGGAG
Molecule: long non-coding RNA, 719 nt
Filed under: Felis catus (domestic cat)
Lineage: Eukaryota; Metazoa; Chordata; Mammalia; Carnivora; Felidae
Description: lncRNA (ENSFCAG00000041941.2)
Source: RNAcentral